Molecule: non-coding RNA, 553 nt
Organism: Pseudonaja textilis
Lineage: Eukaryota; Metazoa; Chordata; Lepidosauria; Squamata; Elapidae
Source: RefSeq, a predicted model, not a curated record
UGUCUCCAAACAAGCAAUAACGAGGCAUUUUAAUCCCAACCACACCGGCUGCGCACGGACCUGAACACAAGACAAAAUAGAAAUUAUCUGAAAAAACAGAUUUGGUCAAACACUCUAAACCAAAUAUCUGAAGGAAGAGUAGAUGGGCUGGGAAUAAGGAGAAAAUGGAGAAUUUUACAGUUGGAUGGAACUGAUUAAAUUCUGAAAAACAGAAAGGAAGAAGACAAAAGACCAGGUUUUGGGCAGCAUUCCAAGAUCAGACUGAAGAUUAACAAUGUAGAUUCAAUUGUAUUUAAAAAAAAAUUGAUCAAGAUAAUGACAAAGGGAAGGGAGUUUUUUUUCCUGAAAAAUUCAAACAGAAAAAAAAAUUGUUUUAUUGGGACCAAGUGCAUCCUUACUUUUAAAAAACAGAAGUUUAAAUUGAAUUCAGUACAAAAUGCAAGAGAAUUUCUGGAAAAUUUUAAAGGGGAAAGGGAAGAAAUGCAAAUAGAGGUCAUAAAAAUGACUAAACAACAACUACAGAAUACUGAAGAUGAUGCUUCCAUCUUAGGCA